RNAcentral lists this ribosomal RNA (500 nucleotides) under uncultured sulfate-reducing bacterium. RNAcentral's name for it is "bacterial SSU rRNA". It matches the Rfam family "Bacterial small subunit ribosomal RNA", at positions 227 to 717 of the family's 1533-position model. The record is from RNAcentral.
GGGUCUGCGUCUCAUUAGCUANCCUUUUAGGGUAAUGGCCUACCAAGGCAACGAUGAGUAGCUGGUCUGAGAGGAUGAUCAGCCACACUGGAACUGAAACACGGUCCAGACUCCUACGGGAGGCAGCAGUGGGGAAUAUUGCGCAAUGGGCGAAAGCCUGACGCAGCAACGCCGUGUGAGGGAUGAAGGCUUUCGGGUCGUAAACCUCUGUCAGAAGGGAAGAACGGGCAUUGGUCUAAUAGGCCUUUGUUUUGACGGUACCUUCAGAGGAAGCACCGGCUAACUCCGUGCCAGCAGCCGCGGUAAUACGGAGGGUGCAAGCGUUAUUCGGAAUUACUGGGCGUAAAGCGCACGUAGGCGGCCUUGUAAGUCAGGGGUGAAAUCCCACGGCUCAACCGUGGAACUGCCUUUGAAACUGCAGGGCUUGAAUCCUGGAGAGGGUGGCGGAAUUCCUGGUGUAGGAGUGAAAUCCGUAGAUAUCAGGAGGAACACCGGUGGCG